RNAcentral lists this ribosomal RNA (253 nucleotides) under uncultured bacterium. RNAcentral describes it as "partial 16S ribosomal RNA". It matches the Rfam family "Bacterial small subunit ribosomal RNA", at positions 524 to 776 of the family's 1533-position model. The record is from RNAcentral.
UACGUAGGGUGCAAGCGUUGUCCGGAAUUAUUGGGCGUAAAGAGCUCGUAGGCGGUCUGUCGCGUCGGAUGUGAAAACCCAGGGCUCAACCCUGGGCCUGCAUUCGAUACGGGCAGACUAGAGUUCGGUAGGGGAGACUGGAAUUCCUGGUGUAGCGGUGGAAUGCGCAGAUAUCAGGAGGAACACCAAUAGCGAAGGCAGCUCGCUGGGACGGUACUGACGCUAAGGCGCGAAAGCGUGGGGAGCGAACAGG